UUGUUAGCAAUAAUAAAAAAUCCUGAUUUAGAUAAAAUGGAUUCAAAUACAGUUUUUGAAACAAAACGAAUGUGAUUUGAAGAUCCCUAGGAAGAUCAAAUUCCUAGCUUACAUUUGCAUGGUGAGUUCAACAAGUAUUUGUUAUUAGAGAACAAGUAACACAGUUAGUGGUGUAGGGAAGCAAACGAAUGUAACACCAAGACCAAUUGAAAGUCCUCAACAAGUAGAGAUGCACACAUGUUUCAAUCAUUUGAGAUACCCUUUUGUAGAAGUAUUUGGAAGAUAACUAUUAAUAAUUUCAUUUGUAAAGAUACGAUUUGUAAAAAAGUAUAUACAAAGUGGUUUUGCUGGUAUUAAAUAAAUAAAUAAAAAUAC
This 375-nucleotide long non-coding RNA is filed under the name Diabrotica virgifera virgifera (western corn rootworm). RNAcentral describes it as "uncharacterized LOC126892311". Lineage: Eukaryota; Metazoa; Arthropoda; Insecta; Coleoptera; Chrysomelidae. The record is from RNAcentral.